UCUCUUUCUUCCAUCUCUCUCUCUCUCACUCUUUUUCUCUUUCUACUACAUCUCUCUCUUCAUUGUCUAAUAUCAUCUCUUGGAUUUUGGAUUUACAGGUUAAUGCAAAGACAAUCAAUGGAGAAAAAGAACAAUCUUCUUGGGCUCUAUUACAACCUUUUUGACAUUUGAAUGGAGACUGUAUAAAAACACGAAAAAUGGGUAAUAAAACAACUUCAAUAAUGUUCGUGAAAUAUAAAAUCUGGUGGUAAACAAGGUUUUACCAAGUUAAUAACUUUUGUAUAUGGGAGAUUCAAUAGUUCAGCAUGAGAAGACUCAGUCAUUAUAAGCACUUGAAGAAAGACUGAUGAAGAAGUGAUGCAACUACUAUUUUUGGACAUGUUUGACAAUUCAUUUAUUUUUUAUCCACUUUGAACAAACAUAUGUGAGGAUGAAUUCUAACAUAUUUAUCACAGUGACUAAGAGAUGGUACCAUAUCAUCUUCUAUUUUGUUUUGGUUGAAUGUUUGUAUUAUUAAGAUAAGUUGUUAUGUCUCUUUUUUAUAUAUGUAUUAAACCUUGUGGUGUUCUCACUGUCAUCUUUAUUUUAAAUUUGGAUCUUA
Molecule: long non-coding RNA, 601 nt
Organism: Vicia villosa (hairy vetch)
Lineage: Eukaryota; Viridiplantae; Streptophyta; Magnoliopsida; Fabales; Fabaceae
Exons: 3
Source: RefSeq, a predicted model, not a curated record